CUACGGGUGGCUGCAGUGAGGAAUUUUGCGCAAUGGGGGAAACCCUGACGCAGCAACGCCGCGUGAGUGAAGAAGGAUUUCGGUUCGUAAAGCUCUGUCAAGUGGAAAGAAAUUACUAUACGUUAAUAGCGGAUAGUAUUGACGGUACCACUGAAGGAAGCACCGGCUAACUCCGUGCCAGCAGCCGCGGUAAUACGGAGGGUGCAAGCGUUAUUCGGAAUCAUUGGGCGUAAAGGGCGCGUAGGCGGCGAUAUAAGUCGGAUGUGAAAGCCCCGGGCUUAACCCGGGAAGUGCAUUCGAAACUAUAUCGCUUGAGUAUGGGAGAGGGAAGUGGAAUUUCUGGUGUAGAGGUGAAAUUCGUAGAUAUCAGAAGGAACACCCGUGGCGAAGGCGACUUCCUGGACCAAUACUGACGCUGAUGCGCGAAGGCGUGGGGAGCGAACAGGAUUAGAUACCCGGGUAGUC
This 465-nucleotide ribosomal RNA is filed under the name uncultured bacterium. Its description in RNAcentral is "partial 16S ribosomal RNA". It matches the Rfam family "Bacterial small subunit ribosomal RNA", at positions 339 to 795 of the family's 1533-position model. The record is from RNAcentral.